Molecule: ribosomal RNA, 2894 nt
Filed under: Escherichia coli 53C
Lineage: Bacteria; Pseudomonadati; Pseudomonadota; Gammaproteobacteria; Enterobacterales; Enterobacteriaceae
Description: bacterial LSU rRNA
Rfam family: Bacterial large subunit ribosomal RNA
Source: RNAcentral
ACUAAGCGUACACGGUGGAUGCCCUGGCAGUCAGAGGCGAUGAAGGACGUGCUAAUCUGCGAUAAGCGUCGGUAAGGUGAUAUGAACCGUUAUAACCGGCGAUUUCCGAAUGGGGAAACCCAGUGUGUUUCGACACACUAUCAUUAACUGAAUCCAUAGGUUAAUGAGGCGAACCGGGGGAACUGAAACAUCUAAGUACCCCGAGGAAAAGAAAUCAACCGAGAUUCCCCCAGUAGCGGCGAGCGAACGGGGAGGAGCCCAGAGCCUGAAUCAGUGUGUGUGUUAGUGGAAGCGUCUGGAAAGGCGCGCGAUACAGGGUGACAGCCCCGUACACAAAAAUGCACAUACUGUGAGCUCGAUGAGUAGGGCGGGACACGUGGUAUCCUGUCUGAAUAUGGGGGGACCAUCCUCCAAGGCUAAAUACUCCUGACUGACCGAUAGUGAACCAGUACCGUGAGGGAAAGGCGAAAAGAACCCCGGCGAGGGGAGUGAAAAAGAACCUGAAACCGUGUACGUACAAGCAGUGGGAGCCUCUUUUAUGGGGUGACUGCGUACCUUUUGUAUAAUGGGUCAGCGACUUAUAUUCUGUAGCAAGGUUAACCGAAUAGGGGAGCCGAAGGGAAACCGAGUCUUAACUGGGCGUUAAGUUGCAGGGUAUAGACCCGAAACCCGGUGAUCUAGCCAUGGGCAGGUUGAAGGUUGGGUAACACUAACUGGAGGACCGAACCGACUAAUGUUGAAAAAUUAGCGGAUGACUUGUGGCUGGGGGUGAAAGGCCAAUCAAACCGGGAGAUAGCUGGUUCUCCCCGAAAGCUAUUUAGGUAGCGCCUCGUGAAUUCAUCUCCGGGGGUAGAGCACUGUUUCGGCAAGGGGGUCAUCCCGACUUACCAACCCGAUGCAAACUGCGAAUACCGGAGAAUGUUAUCACGGGAGACACACGGCGGGUGCUAACGUCCGUCGUGAAGAGGGAAACAACCCAGACCGCCAGCUAAGGUCCCAAAGUCAUGGUUAAGUGGGAAACGAUGUGGGAAGGCCCAGACAGCCAGGAUGUUGGCUUAGAAGCAGCCAUCAUUUAAAGAAAGCGUAAUAGCUCACUGGUCGAGUCGGCCUGCGCGGAAGAUGUAACGGGGCUAAACCAUGCACCGAAGCUGCGGCAGCGACACUAUGUGUUGUUGGGUAGGGGAGCGUUCUGUAAGCCUGUGAAGGUGUGCUGUGAGGCAUGCUGGAGGUAUCAGAAGUGCGAAUGCUGACAUAAGUAACGAUAAAGCGGGUGAAAAGCCCGCUCGCCGGAAGACCAAGGGUUCCUGUCCAACGUUAAUCGGGGCAGGGUGAGUCGACCCCUAAGGCGAGGCCGAAAGGCGUAGUCGAUGGGAAACAGGUUAAUAUUCCUGUACUUGGUGUUACUGCGAAGGGGGGACGGAGAAGGCUAUGUUGGCCGGGCGACGGUUGUCCCGGUUUAAGCGUGUAGGCUGGUUUUCCAGGCAAAUCCGGAAAAUCAAGGCUGAGGCGUGAUGACGAGGCACUACGGUGCUGAAGCAACAAAUGCCCUGCUUCCAGGAAAAGCCUCUAAGCAUCAGGUAACAUCAAAUCGUACCCCAAACCGACACAGGUGGUCAGGUAGAGAAUACCAAGGCGCUUGAGAGAACUCGGGUGAAGGAACUAGGCAAAAUGGUGCCGUAACUUCGGGAGAAGGCACGCUGAUAUGUAGGUGAAGCGACUUGCUCGUGGAGCUGAAAUCAGUCGAAGAUACCAGCUGGCUGCAACUGUUUAUUAAAAACACAGCACUGUGCAAACACGAAAGUGGACGUAUACGGUGUGACGCCUGCCCGGUGCCGGAAGGUUAAUUGAUGGGGUUAGCGGUAACGCGAAGCUCUUGAUCGAAGCCCCGGUAAACGGCGGCCGUAACUAUAACGGUCCUAAGGUAGCGAAAUUCCUUGUCGGGUAAGUUCCGACCUGCACGAAUGGCGUAAUGAUGGCCAGGCUGUCUCCACCCGAGACUCAGUGAAAUUGAACUCGCUGUGAAGAUGCAGUGUACCCGCGGCAAGACGGAAAGACCCCGUGAACCUUUACUAUAGCUUGACACUGAACAUUGAGCCUUGAUGUGUAGGAUAGGUGGGAGGCUUUGAAGUGUGGACGCCAGUCUGCAUGGAGCCGGCCUUGAAAUACCACCCUUUAAUGUUUGAUGUUCUAACGUUGGCCCCUGAUCGGGGUUGCGGACAGUGUCUGGUGGGUAGUUUGACUGGGGCGGUCUCCUCCUAAAGAGUAACGGAGGAGCACGAAGGUUGGCUAAUCCUGGUCGGACAUCAGGAGGUUAGUGCAAUGGCAUAAGCCAGCUUGACUGCGAGCGUGACGGCGCGAGCAGGUGCGAAAGCAGGUCAUAGUGAUCCGGUGGUUCUGAAUGGAAGGGCCAUCGCUCAACGGAUAAAAGGUACUCCGGGGAUAACAGGCUGAUACCGCCCAAGAGUUCAUAUCGACGGCGGUGUUUGGCACCUCGAUGUCGGCUCAUCACAUCCUGGGGCUGAAGUAGGUCCCAAGGGUAUGGCUGUUCGCCAUUUAAAGUGGUACGCGAGCUGGGUUUAGAACGUCGUGAGACAGUUCGGUCCCUAUCUGCCGUGGGCGCUGGAGAACUGAGGGGGGCUGCUCCUAGUACGAGAGGACCGGAGUGGACGCAUCACUGGUGUUCGGGUUGUCAUGCCAAUGGCACUGCCCGGUAGCUAAAUGCGGAAGAGAUAAGUGCUGAAAGCAUCUAAGCACGAAACUUGCCCCGAGAUGAGUUCUCCCUGAGACUUUAAGUCUCCUGAAGGAACGUUGAAGACGACGACGUUGAUAGGCCGGGUGUGUAAGCGCAGCGAUGCGUUGAGCUAACCGGUACUAAUGAACCGUGAGGCUUAACC